AUGGUCUCAGAACAGCUUCAUCAAUAUGAGUUGAAGCAAAGCAAGAAGAAGUUGAGGUUUGAAAUUGAGUCGAAAGAGUUUGUGGAGAAGGAGAAGCAGAGGAAAGGUGCAGAUGGUGCCAAGGGUGGCAAAUUUGACAAGGUGAAGCAACCUUCUUUGCAGAAGAAGAGGCUGAGUACUGUUGCUGAGGAAGGUGGCACACAUUGGCGGAGUCCACGUGUUGCUAGCAUGAAGAAGAAUCUUGGCAAGAGAACUGCUCAAGCUGGUGGAAAUGAUGAUCCUCAGCGCAAGCGACUACAUAUCACUGAAGGUCCCAACUCUGAUGAUGACGACUUUGUGCUUGCUGAUUAUGUGAAGGGUGUUCAUCCUUGUAGACGCAAAGACUGUGGUUCAUCU
RNAcentral lists this ribosomal RNA (396 nucleotides) under Triticum aestivum (bread wheat). RNAcentral describes it as "partial small subunit ribosomal RNA". The record is from RNAcentral. Lineage: Eukaryota; Viridiplantae; Streptophyta; Magnoliopsida; Poales; Poaceae.